RNAcentral lists this long non-coding RNA (212 nucleotides) under Setaria viridis. RNAcentral describes it as "long non-coding RNA (SVIR_LNC000288)". The record is from RNAcentral. Lineage: Eukaryota; Viridiplantae; Streptophyta; Magnoliopsida; Poales; Poaceae.
UAGUUUCUAUGCUUAAAUAGGAAGCGGUAAAAGUCGAGUGAUUUCUUGUCACUCGCGAGUUAUAGGAGUUGGUUGUUCUCCUUCUGUUACAACUAUAAGGAUGAUGGACGGGGCUGGGUUUUUGUUAACUCUUUUGGUGGUCGGUUGAUCACCCCGUCUGUGUACGGAAUCUGUUAAGGCCCGACAGUGGUGGUGUUCGUGAUCAAGUGUUU